Long non-coding RNA from Grus americana (Whooping crane), 299 nucleotides. RefSeq lists it as uncharacterized. Lineage: Eukaryota; Metazoa; Chordata; Aves; Gruiformes; Gruidae. The transcript has 3 exons. The record is from RefSeq and is a predicted model, not a curated record.
GUCUCAUUAGGCACAGAGCUUGUACUUUGAGAGAUACUGCGUAUGCCAUAGUGAGGGAAGAAAUAGAUGAAGACUUUGAACAACGCUGUGAAGAAAUUCAAGAAUCUCGUAAGAAAAGAGGUUGUAGCUCUUCAAAGUAUGCUCCCUCUUACUACCGUGUAAUGCCAAAGCAGAACUCCGUUCCUGGGUGUACGAAAACAGACCCAAAGUGUAAUGAAAAAAUGAAGAUAGCAGCAGCACCUGUAGAUGCCAGUACACCCCGCUCUAACAAUUCGUGGGUACGCCGUACGACUCGUGGG